CAAACGGCUAAAGCACAAACAACAAAAAUAAACCUCGACUCAUUGGGUCUCCCCACCCGCUUCAAACGCUGAACCCAAGGCAGAGAGCGGACCCUAGUUUUGGCGGUAAUGCCAAACACCCAGAAAGGCCAAGUAGCUUAGAGACUACUACUGAGGGGUUUAAGCAAUGGGAGGAGAAGAAGAGCGACAAGAGCAGCAACACCUAUAUACGGAAAUUACGGAAAACCCAAGCCAGCAGCAAGAAGAAGAGUUUAUUCAUCAUGGCCGGCGAUUCGGUUCGAUGUUCCUCCACAGAGAACCUACCACUUCUCCCACCAGUUCAGAACUCCCUCAAACCCUAACAAUUUUCUCAAGGCCGUCAAAGGAAGAAGAGUCAUGGAGAUGAGAUUAAAUUUUCUUUAUUUUUUUUUUUUUCACGAAUAUUUUCUCUUUCUUGAUUUUCCAUUCAAUUGACCAUAGUUAACUUUAGUUAUAGUGCAUUACAGGUGCUGUGUUUAACUCUCCCAGUAGGUGGAGCAUCUGACAAGUAACAAGACGGAUGCUACUGAGAGGGAUGAAACAGAGAUACAAAUAUGUGAUUCAAAGGGAGAGUUGGAUUGUUCUUCCACAGAAAGCAGCAGGGUUGAAACAGAGGUACAGAGAGAUGAGGAGAUCACCAUCAUCACCUGAAACUGCAAAGCUUAAAGACUGCUACUGUAAAUAUAUAUAUAUAUAUAUAUGAUUCAGAGAGGGAGUUGGAUUGUUUUUCCACAGAAAGCAGCUGCAGGUCUUAGGAGACAUGGCAAUGAGUUACAGAUUAAAUGAUGCCUCAACUAUCUCACUUUCUUUUCCUAAGAAAAUGUUGCAACAACACCCUUUUAGCAGGUCAGACCUCAAAGUAGCAGUGGAUCAGCGGAACAUGACACUCAUGUAGUCUUGAUGCUAUGCAAAACUCCGCAAUGCAGAAGUAUGGAGAUUAAUCAUUGAUCAGAUGAGGUACCACAUAGCGUAAUUAAGCUAGAUAUGAUGUAACAGUUAAAGGCUUCAGUUUUCACUUGCAAGGAGUUGGAUGAUGUUGACGAUGUUGAUAAUGAUUGUGGUGAUGAUGAGCAAGAUGAUGAUAAGAAAGAUGAGGCUGACAAUGUUGAUGAUGAUGGGCAUCAGGAUCUAUGAUGCUGAAAGGAAAUGAUUUCAAGAAAGGCAGCUGAAAGGAUGAUUUGCCAAUCACAUCCACCUCUACUGUCAUCAAAGAAUUUAUGCAAGUUUCCUCAACGGUUAGGAGAAGAUGAAAAAUGCCUUCGAUAUGUGGAGAACUCGUUGAAAAGGUUUCUUCGUUUUCUCAGCAGAGCUAGCAGAGAAAGAGACAUACAGAGAGCGAUGGCUAGGAGAGCGCCAUGGUCACCUGAAGAUGCACAGCUUAAGAGUAUUGUAUUUAGAAAUAUGGGACUGGUCAUAGAGAAUUAGAGAUGUGGCAAGAGUCGCAGAACAAGAUUGCUCAACUGUCUCAGCAGGCGGAAUGGAUGAUUAUCAAGCAGUGUACGUCAUCAAUCAAAGUUGUAUCAUCUGUUUUGGCAUCCAUUCGACUGAUUGUUUCCAUCAGAUGGGAUUUUCAUGGCAUGAAAGCGAGGGAAGAGUGAAUGGGAUCCAAAGCCUCAAUUAACUUCAGUUUCAGGCUUUGACCAAGUCAACCCAAAGACCAUGAGGGAUAAAAGACACUUUACCAAUAGAACCAUGGCAAAUUGGUGGUCCAGUCAUUAAGGGAUUUGGUCGGGGCUCAAAAGUACUUGGGAUCCCUACAGGAGCCAUGGCUGCUUCAUGACUUUGAUGCGGACUUCUAUGGGGAGG
This is a long non-coding RNA of Rosa chinensis, 1824 nucleotides long. RefSeq lists it as uncharacterized. The record is from RefSeq and is a predicted model, not a curated record. The transcript has 13 exons. Lineage: Eukaryota; Viridiplantae; Streptophyta; Magnoliopsida; Rosales; Rosaceae.